AUGGGACAUGGUGACACCAGCCUGCAAGUGAGCCUCCCAGCUGACAUGUGGAUGGGUGCGAAGGAGGACUGGAGCCUUGGAGAGCCAAUGCUCUCAUGUUUACUGCCCCGGCUUUAUCCGAGAUUGACCAGAUGUCCAGCCACAGGAAGUCAGCAAGUGCUUUCUUUAGUCUUCUUUCCAAAGGGUCGGCAGGGAUGUUUGAGGACCUCCUGGUGGGUGUGGGAGGCACCAACAAGCCUAAGGCCUCAGAUAUUUUGAUACAGGCUUGAGGCUCCCCACUCCCCACAAUCCCACACUGCUGAGAAUCACUCUGAAUAGCGAUGUUCCUCACAGGGACGCGAUGUGCUUGUGAACGACUCAGGGGCAGAAGAAAGGGAGAGGAAACAUUGUCUGCCGGCUUUCAUUCAUUCACACAUUCAUUUGUCUCUGAAACACCUAUUGAGCCCCUGCUAGGUGUCUGGCUCUCUUGGGCACUGGAAUAUUGACAGGAAGAGCAGGCUAAGAGGAUGCACCUGUCGGCAUCCUUGGGAAGCUUGCCAUCAAUGGGAGCCUGUGAGAAUCUGAUCAAAGGGCAAAGGGGGCAACAACCCCUCUGUUAACUUUGGAAGCUGUCGCUGUCUCUCUGGGGACCCAACUCCACAUAAGGUGCUUGAAGUCAGGAGUGUUCAUGGUGCCUCCACCAGAGAUGCUUCACUCAUUUGACCAGAGAUAGGUGCUCAGAAACCUGGGCUGUGAGUUUAAUUUUCAGAGAUUAACAUGUGACUGAUUAGAAAAACAUCCAGGGGCAGGCAUCUUGCAGAUUAUGUCCUUGCUUCUGGGCUCAGGUAACCCUGGUGGCUCAGCUGAUAGAGCAUUUCCCGCAAUGCGGCAGACCCAGCUUCAGUCCCUGGGUGGGGAAGAUUCCCUGGAGAAGGGAAUAGCAAUCCACUCCAGUAUUCUUGCCUGGAGAGUUCCAUGGACAGAGGAGCCNNNUGGGCUACAGUCCAUGGGGUUGCAAAGAGUCAGACAUGACUGAAUGACUAUCACUUUCGCUUUUGAACCCUACACACACUGAGAAAAUAAACAACUCAAGUGCAAGUUAUAGAGGUGAACUGAAGGUUAGAGUGAAGUAUAUCCAGGAAAGUUGGCAGAUGCAAAGAGGCUUCCCCAAAUGGUGUUGGUAUUGAUACCCCUGCUCAGAGUCUAGGGUCUGCCUCCAGCCUCAUGUGCUCAAAGCAUGGAUCAAGAGCAGAUCCGAUGCUUAGAAAAGAUUUGCUCUAGCCAAAUCUAUAGGCUUGUGAAUCAACUCAGAAUGCCAUUUCCUUGAUUUAUCCUGAAAAACACAACUGUCGUCCAAGUAAAACAUGUGGUAAUGGCCUGUAUCUGUCUCUUUCUAUAGAACAAUCUUUAAGGCAGUUGUCAACAGUAGAUCAUUUGGUGAGUUUGAAAUCAGAACAAAGGGACCUGGUUAGAUGGCUUUGCUAUUUAAUAACAUUAAAUUGUGAGAACCUGGUCAACCACAGUUAUAUGUAAAAUACAUGGUCACUGGCUCUGAUGGACUUGAAAUGGGCAGGGCAUCACUCCUGAACACACCUUGGGUAGGGGUUGCCAACCCCAUUUCUGAUGGCCUAUUCUUGCUUCAUCUAUGUGAUGGCUUUCAGUCCUGUCUUAUAGGUUUGAGAGUCAUUUUAUUUCUUUCAAGAGACUUUGUGUCUCUCCACUAUGGUUCUUAGAACUUAUGGUUUAACUUAUAAUGACAACCUUAUAUCCUUUUGAACAUUUUGUCCACAGUUCAAUUCAGUCGUGUCCAACUCUUUGUGACCCUAUGGAUUGUAGCACACCAGGCUUCCCUGUCCAUCACCAAUUCCUGGAGCUUGCUCA
This 1860-nucleotide long non-coding RNA is filed under the name Capra hircus (goat). RNAcentral describes it as "lncRNA (ENSCHIG00010005943.1)". Lineage: Eukaryota; Metazoa; Chordata; Mammalia; Artiodactyla; Bovidae. The record is from RNAcentral.